GAUGAAGAACGUAGCGAAAUGCGAUAAGUAAUGUGAAUUGCAGAAUUCAGUGAAUCAUCGAAUCUUUGAACGCACCUUGCGCUCUUUGGUAUUCCGAAGAGCAUGCCUGUUUGAGUGUCAUGAAAAUAUCAACCUUGACUUGGGUUUUGUGCUCUAGUCUCGGCUUGGAAUUGGGUGCUUGCCGCUUUUACGAGCGGCUCACCUUAAAUGUAUUAGCUGGAUCUGUCUUUGAGACUUGGUUUGACUUGGCGUAAUAAGUAUUUCGCUAAGGACAUUCUUCGGAGUGGCCUCGUUUCUAGGACGCUUGUCCGCUUUCCAAUACAAGUUCCACCUCGUGGACAUGACUUUUUAUUAUCUGGCCUCAAAUCAGGUAGGACUACCCGCUGAACUUAAGCAUACAAUAAGCGGAGGA
Molecule: unclassified non-coding RNA, 412 nt
Filed under: soil metagenome
Description: partial contains 5.8S ribosomal RNA, internal transcribed spacer 2, and large subunit ribosomal RNA
Rfam family: 5.8S ribosomal RNA (bases 1-120)
Source: RNAcentral